This 611-nucleotide long non-coding RNA is filed under the name Marmota monax (woodchuck). Lineage: Eukaryota; Metazoa; Chordata; Mammalia; Rodentia; Sciuridae. The record is from RNAcentral.
AGACAAUUUCUUGUUUUUCAUUAUUAUAAGUAUCUUGUAUCUAUAUCUUGGUGAACUUGACCUGUUAUUUCCUUAGGAAAUUUCUGAGAAGUCAAAUUGCUUGCUUUUUACCACUUUUCCAUUCAUUCACUAAGCAAAUGAUAAAUAUUUAGCAAAUAGUUUUGGAUGCUUGGAUAUAAUGGUGAGCAAAAUAGUUUCCCUUUUCACCUUUCCCAAUUGCAUUUUAGUGCUGGUGGACAGUAAAGGGAGCAGCCUUCUGCUGAUGAUAGCAAAGUGUCUAUGAUGAUAUGCUGGGAGGCAGUAAGGGAAUCUGUGGGGGCACUACUGUAGAAAGUCUCAUCAGAAAGACCUGAAGAGGACAUGCUUAAACUAAUACAUGAAGGAUCAGCAUGAACCAGAACUGGACAGAGGCUGAGCAGUGUAGGUAAAGGCCCAGAAGGCAAGCACAAACUUGACAUGUAUGAGAAGUUAGUGAACAGUGUACCUGUUAAUAUCUCUGGCACAAGGAGUGGUCAGGGACUUUCUAUUAGCCUCCCAUUUGUCUGACCAGCUCUUUUACUUUCCCAGUCAGCCUUCUUUCUUUCCUUGCUUGUUUAAUCAGUUCACAUCCA